RNAcentral lists this long non-coding RNA (1779 nucleotides) under Bemisia tabaci. RNAcentral describes it as "lncRNA ENSSWEETPG012332". Lineage: Eukaryota; Metazoa; Arthropoda; Insecta; Hemiptera; Aleyrodidae. The record is from RNAcentral.
GGAUUUUGACUCUACUAGAGUCGCGAGAUCCAGUGGCGUGGCGUGCUUAGCGAUAUAUCAAUUGAUCUGCCUUUUAAACCUAUGAAAAAGGAUCGAUAAACAGGGUGUUCGCAGCGAACACCUUAUUAAUCAAUUCUUUACCAUAGCUUCAAAUAAGAAUAUAUCGAUAAUCGAUCAUUCACGCCUCGCCACUGGCGAGAUCUUAAUGAUCUGCUCCGCCCACCAAAUUUCCUCGUCAAAGGACGUCAUCAAAAAGUUUUGGUAUUGGAGUUGUGGAAGUUUGGAGGGCGAAUUACUAAUUAGUGGACACAACACCUUGCAAGAUUUUCGCGGGAAUAAUCAUUCAGGGAUUCGUAGAUACGGGAUAAAAAAAUGUUUGAAAGAAAUCGGCAAUGUUUACUCCAAAAAGCCAAGGCAUGAUAUUUUCAGAGGUGUCUGGCUCAAACCAGAACAUAAACAAGAAAGGAUUUAUCCACUAACAUACGUUCUAUCGGAAAGUCACCCUCGUGCUCAAGGAGAGGUGAUUUUUAUCAAUAAAAAAAUACGUGGCAAAGGUGAGGUGCCUCGAUAUCUUAGAUUUUACACAUCUGCAUAAUAAACAUAAGUAAGUGCAAAGUCAUCUAAAAACUUUGUUUUAAACUUAAAAUCUACCUCAUGCAGAGCAGCAGUACCUCCUCUGAGCAGUUACAUCUUCCAGCUUGGUCAUUGGCCCAAGAGCAGAUUAGGCGACAAUUCAGGACUGUACAGACUGAAAUUCCUUUGAGAAAGAGGCGAAAUUUGGAUGACAACUGGCGUUACAAGCUGAUGCUCCUACACCUAAGGUUCUAUGGUCUGAAUAUAGUCUACACGAGGGACGAUCUGCUCAGCAAGUUCAUAGUUACUGCUCACUUUGUCUUCCUUUUUCUCGAGGUUAUCUUCUGCUUCCAAUGCCUUGCUGCCAUAGUUUUCCACGUUGCUCAGGGCCAAAUUGUCCUCAGAGAACUCAUUAUGCACCUUCAGUUCACAGUUCUUACACUCACAAUCAUCGUCAAAGGUUUGUCACAAAUAUAAUUGUAAGAUUUUGAAAACAAGUAAGUGGUGUAGCAUACUAAUGUGUGGCUCAUUCUGAUCAUGUUGGAAAAUUGACUUUGUCCGGGUAACGAGGGACCUGUUGCAAACUUUUGCUAAAGCAAAAAUAAGAGUAGUUUCUUACAGAAAAUGUCUCAUAAAUCACAAUGAGCGCAUCAGCAAGUCUGAAAUGUACUCCUAACUUCACAAUCUGCGUAAGAAAUUCGCGGUUUUUUUUUGGCUUCCUGCUUCAAAAACGAUACUACGGCACAGGAGAACAUUUCGUUGGAGGCCGAGUUGUUCCAUCCAACCCCUGCUCAGUAGGAUGUUAAGCAACAUUCAAAAUGGCCGACGCCAAUUCGCCAAAACACUUGUGACGGGACGAGAUUCUACCCACCUGAUAACAAUCGGCGUAUUUACCAUCACAUUUUCCUCUCGUUGAUAGAUGUCCGCCUUAAUUGACCUUGUCGACUCCUCUAACGAAAUGUUCACCUGCGCCGUAGUGCCGUUUUUGAAGCGGGAAGCUAAAAAACCCGCAAAUGUCUUACGCAGAUUAUGAAGUUAGGAGAGCAUUUCAGACUUUGUCAAUGCGCUUAUCGUGAUUUUUGAGACAUUUUCUGUUAGAAUCAACUCUUAUUUCUGCUCUAUCAAAAGUUUGUAACAGCCCAUUAAUUGGCCCUAUCCAUGAAAAUUGAAGCUAGCCUCUAUGAAGCACUUGAGAUAAUCGUAAAG